CGGUGUUCCUGUCGGGCGGCCCUGAGCAAAGGAAGCUGGACAGAGGGGGCGGGCCUAGGAGAGCCGGACGAGGUGGGGCUGCGCCCAGGAAAGCCUUCUCCUUCAUUGCGGUAGUUCCAGGACGAUUUUGCCCACGUUCCUGUUACUCUCCAUGUAUGCAUGGGCCUCUUGAAUUGCAGCCACGGGGUAGACUCUGUCCAACACCGGGAGUAGACGUUGGGGGCUCUCCGUGGAGAAGUUGGGCAGGAUUUGUUUUGUGAAAGCCUCCACCAGCCUUUGCUUGUACUUAAGAUAAAAGGAGAUCAUCAGUCUAGACGGAGACUUCACCUUGCCGCUCCCCAUCCUGCUCAUUAUUAGCCUUUGUGCUCUCUGAAGUGUAGACGCCAUCUGAAAAUGCACAUAUGGGAUCUCAGCAGAGUGGUGAUGAGACUUCCUCGUUUAAAAAGUAGCUUUGAAAAUAGAGGUCCACUGACGUCAGUUCCUCCCAUCAGACCAUAGAGAAUCCAGCGACCGUCAAGAGCCAGGCAGCUGACGUUUUUCUCCCAGUAGGAUCCACCUAUGCAGUCUAGAAUAAGGUUGACUCCAGCACCUUUCACAUGAAACACAGAUUUGUAAAGCUCAUCAGACACAGAAGGCUUUGUGCAAAGUGAUUCCACGGUAUAUUUGUGAAUAUAUGGGUAUAUAUAUAGGUGCAAGUGGAAAUCUGUAGGUUGGAACUAGAAACACCGCUCAUAGAAACACUGUUGUAGGGCGCCUUGGGUGGCUCAGUUGGUUAAGCGACUGCCUUCGGCUCAGGUCAUGAUCCUGGAGU
Molecule: non-coding RNA, 811 nt
Organism: Leptonychotes weddellii (Weddell seal)
Lineage: Eukaryota; Metazoa; Chordata; Mammalia; Carnivora; Phocidae
Source: RefSeq, a predicted model, not a curated record